Molecule: long non-coding RNA, 249 nt
Filed under: Prunus persica (peach)
Lineage: Eukaryota; Viridiplantae; Streptophyta; Magnoliopsida; Rosales; Rosaceae
Description: long non-coding RNA (PPER_LNC006250)
Source: RNAcentral
UUUUGUGUGUCUAGAACCACCUCUAGCUCUGUUUCACAUUUGCACCUACUGCAGAGCACUACCCCAGCCGAGAUGGUCGCUCUUGGUAUUUGACUGGUCUCCCUUAUGACUCUUCUGCCUCUGCUGCAACCAGCAUCUGUGAUUGGCUCGGUUUUCCUUUGUUCUGGCCAAUUUAAGUUGACCAUAUUGACUUGAGGUUGAGGAAAAGGAUCCGUUGUGACCGAUGGUGGUUUUUCUGCCAGUUUCAAC